Long non-coding RNA from Orcinus orca (killer whale), 204 nucleotides. RefSeq lists it as uncharacterized. The transcript has 3 exons. NCBI's taxonomy places the organism in Eukaryota, Metazoa, Chordata, Mammalia, Artiodactyla, Delphinidae. The record is from RefSeq and is a predicted model, not a curated record.
AUCACUCCACUCUAUGACAUUUACAGCAUUCAAACUUGCCAGUGGAAUGAUGAUACCAUUGUCAUGGCUGAAAGAAAACCAUGGUGCAUUAUUAAUCUCAGGUUUAGGCAGAUUGUGCUGCCCCAGGGACAACUGUGCUCAUAACAAUUCGUGCCCACCAUCUGAAUUCCUUGAAGGACAUAACCCCAUUAUAAAAUUGGAAAA